Molecule: long non-coding RNA, 685 nt
Filed under: Fukomys damarensis (Damara mole-rat)
Lineage: Eukaryota; Metazoa; Chordata; Mammalia; Rodentia; Bathyergidae
Description: lncRNA (ENSFDAG00000032908.1)
Source: RNAcentral
ACAGAAUGUGCCUGCCUGCCUGUGAUUCCUCAAGGACAGGCACAUUUCCUGUCUCGUUCAUCUCCACUUCUUCAAGACGUAUAACACAGUGAGCACCUGGCUCAUAGGACUAACUUCCUGACUGUUGGUUGAGUCAGUGAAGAAAUACAGCAAUGAGGAAAAGAAGGACAGGUUUUUCUCAAAAUUAUGAGGUUAGAGCUCCUCAGGCAUUACCCAGUGGCUGGCCCAGGAAGUUGGAAUAGGCCUGAAGUUUGGCCCAAUCUACCUUCAAGGCACACACAGUCUUUGAAGUCCACGUCUCUGCUGUGGAUUUCCAGCUGUGAACUGGCCAGUUCUACCUGGAGGUCUCCCAGACACAUCCAAGCCCUCACAGUCAGUGUGGAAAUCACCACCCUCCUGCAGGCGGUUCCUUCUUCAUCUCAAUGAGCGAGCGCACUAUGGAUCAGUGGUCCCCAGGACCCGAUACCCUCAGGGCAGAGCCCACCCAAGGAGUUCUUUUGUAUCCUCUGAGCCCCUUGGAAAGACCCCUGUUUUCUGCCCCUCUGCCCUGCCAAACAUGUCAGGCCUUGGUCCAGAUUCGGUGUCUGCUGUUGACCUGUUCCUCAUAGGUGGCGCUUCUGAUGUGUCCUCAGGGGGAAAAGAGGUGUCCUCACGUGGCAGCUCCCUCUCCCUCUCUCCCCUCCCC